RNAcentral lists this long non-coding RNA (1089 nucleotides) under Rhinopithecus bieti (black snub-nosed monkey). Its description in RNAcentral is "lncRNA (ENSRBIG00000046458.1)". Lineage: Eukaryota; Metazoa; Chordata; Mammalia; Primates; Cercopithecidae. The record is from RNAcentral.
ACAUGCUCCUUGUGCCCACUCUUCCCUGCUCUGCAUUUCCUCCUUCAUGUGCCUGACAUUUCCUAAUGAAGAUGUUCAGCUUCAUUUCUCACCACCGGUGUUCGGGGCACAAGUCAGUUUCCACUGAUGCACUGGAUUCUGAAGGCCCCAACAGCAUGUGGCCACCAGGAUUUGGGCUCAGAGAGACAUUCUUGGAGGAGUGCCCCCGAGGACCCUUUCGAAACAGCUCUGGUCAUCGGUACCAGGCAUGAGGACAAAGAGAUAAACAUGGCCAGUUCCUGCUCUCCAAGAAUGUCAAGUCCUUUUACAAAGACCGACUCUCCAUGAGUGACUCACAUCGCAGAACACCGAGUUCAGGAGUGGAUGGGGACACGAAAGCAUGCAUCUGAAGAGGCUGCUUGAAAGACACAAUAACGGGCUUCUGCCUGUGUGUUAUCAUGAACUCUUUUCUGAGGAAGAGGCUGAUGACUCCAGCAUCCUCUGUAGUGAAGGGCUACAUGGAACUGUGAAUAAAGGAGAACCAGAGGUCAGUGAGCGGAGGGAAUUUUUGUCCAACGUGCACCUUGACAGAGCUUCACUGACCACGGGCUGUGUCUCCCUGCUGCCGCGCAGCGCACCUCUGACCACAGACCCCUCUCCGGAGCCGUGUGUUUGCUCCUCACCUGACAGGCUGUGUGAGAACCCAUCUGUGCUUCCCUGGGAUGUCUGACUGCAUGCACCCCCCGACUGUGCAUGGGAACCCUGCUGAGCCUUGGCUGCUCCUGCCCCUCUUCAGGUGAAGAACAUGCUGGCUUCAGGUUGUGACUCACCCCGAGCGGCUUGUGGAUUCCUUAUUCCCUGCUCAUAACGUGUAGCCCUUUAUUAAACAUCCCUAACACGUUCCAGAUAGUCUUCCUUCCAAGACCCCAAGGAACACACUCCAUGCAUGCUUUGUGUUUCAAAUCUCAGAAUCACUGUGUCAAGCAAGAGAAGCCACCCAGGAAAGAUAUGUGGGUGAAGUCAAGAACAGGCAGGAGCGACCGACUGUGAUGGAAGUCAGAACACUGGAGGUUCAGUUUUGGAUUGGAGUUAACUUGAGGAAACUUUCUG